RNAcentral lists this long non-coding RNA (348 nucleotides) under Bos taurus (domestic cattle). RNAcentral's name for it is "long non-coding RNA NONBTAT024485". Lineage: Eukaryota; Metazoa; Chordata; Mammalia; Artiodactyla; Bovidae. The record is from RNAcentral.
GAUUAAUGUUUCCAGAGAAGGGGAAAAAAUGUGGCUUCAAAAUUAAUUAUCUUGGGCUGGAAGAUCUAAGCCUCAGACAUGUUAUUUUCCUGCCCCUACCUCUUCUGAGGGAAAGUCCAUGCUAUGUAACCUUCCAUUGCUGAGCAAUUCCUGAAGUGUGGUUUUCUGGGGAGCCCGUACCACUUUCCCUUCACCCACCACCAAUUUUAUGUUUCCUUUUAUAUAAAUAACAAAGAAAGAGAUCAACAGAAUCAUAACAAAGUCCUUGACAGCUAACACGUUUUGCGUCUGAUUUAAAGCAGGAAGCCCCCAUGUCUAGCUGCUUGUGAUUUAUUUAGAAUAAAACAA